Molecule: ribosomal RNA, 488 nt
Filed under: uncultured bacterium
Lineage: Bacteria
Description: bacterial SSU rRNA
Rfam family: Bacterial small subunit ribosomal RNA
Source: RNAcentral
GAUGAACGCUGGCGGCGUGCCUAACACAUGCAAGUCGAACGAAGCACUGAGAGUUUGAGAUUUCGGUCAAGAACACUCUUUGACUUAGUGGCGGACGGGUGAGUAAUGCGUGAGCAACCUGCCUUUCAGAGGGGGGACAACAGUUGGAAACGACUGCUAAUACCGCAUGAUAUAUUCGGAUCGCAUGGUCUGGAUAUCAAAGAUUUAUCGCUGAAAGAUGGGCUCACGUCUGAUUAGUUAGUUGGUGAGGUAACGGCUCACCAAGACUGCGAUCAGUAGCCGGACUGAGAGGUUGAACGGCCACAUUGGGACUGAGAUACGGCCCAGACUCCUACGGGAGGCAGCAGUGGGGAAUAUUGGGCAAUGGGCGAAAGCCUGACCCAGCAACGCCGCGUGAAGGAAGAAGGUCUUCGGAUUGUAAACUUCUUUUAUCAGGGACGAAGGAAGUGACGGUACCUGAUGAAUAAGCCACGGCUAACUACGUGACC